GUUUUCCUCAAACAAUUUUCUUAACCAUUUUUGUGAUCCAUGUUUUGAUUUUGUGGAUUUCGGUCUUGGAGCUCUAGCUUUCUUUGUGGAAAGGUAUGAUUUUGGGGUUUGGAAAGGUAUUCUUUUCAAUUUAACUCUUUUCCCAAAUUUCAUAUGGUUUUUGCUAUAAUCCCAACUUUGGUAUCUAUGUAAAUGCAUGUGGGUUUAAAAUCUUGCCUUAGACUUUGUAUGUUGUAAACAAACAAUUGUGAAUUUUGCAUGUACCUUUAAAAGUGUGUUGGGUACCAGAAAAGUCUUUGCAUGUACCUAGGAGUGGACUAA
RNAcentral lists this unclassified non-coding RNA (321 nucleotides) under Hevea brasiliensis (rubber tree). Lineage: Eukaryota; Viridiplantae; Streptophyta; Magnoliopsida; Malpighiales; Euphorbiaceae. The record is from RNAcentral.